GGAGAGGUGCCGGAGUGGUUGAACGGGGCGGUCUCGAAAACCGUUGUGGGCGCAAGUCCACCGAGGGUUCGAAUCCCUCUCUCUCCGCCA
This 90-nucleotide transfer RNA is filed under the name Alphaproteobacteria bacterium. RNAcentral describes it as "tRNA-Ser". It matches the Rfam family "tRNA". Rfam says of the family: Transfer RNA (tRNA) molecules are approximately 80 nucleotides in length. Their secondary structure includes four short double-helical elements and three loops (D, anti-codon, and T loops). Further hydrogen bonds mediate the characteristic L-shaped molecular structure. tRNAs have two regions of fundamental functional importance: the anti-codon, which is responsible for specific mRNA codon recognition, and the 3' end, to which the tRNAs corresponding amino acid is attached (by aminoacyl-tRNA synthetases). tRNAs cope with the degeneracy of the genetic code in two manners: having more than one tRNA (with a specific anti-codon) for a particular amino acid; and 'wobble' base-pairing, i.e. permitting non-standard base-pairing at the 3rd anti-codon position. Lineage: Bacteria; Pseudomonadati; Pseudomonadota; Alphaproteobacteria. RNAcentral also lists the same sequence under 6 other names. The record is from RNAcentral.